This 520-nucleotide unclassified non-coding RNA is filed under the name uncultured Glomus. Its description in RNAcentral is "SSU rRNA". It matches the Rfam family "Eukaryotic small subunit ribosomal RNA", at positions 569 to 1092 of the family's 1831-position model. Lineage: Eukaryota; Fungi; Glomeromycota; Glomeromycetes; Glomerales; Glomeraceae. The record is from RNAcentral.
AGCAGCCGCGGUAAUUCCAGCUCCAAUAGCGUAUAUUAAAGUUGUUGCAGUUAAAAAGCUCGUAGUUGAAUUUCGGGACUAAUAUGUCGGUCGUGCCUCGGUACGUACUGGUUUAUUGGUUUCUCCUUUCUGAAGAACCAUGAUGUCAUUUAUUUGGUGUCGUGGGGAAUCAGGACUGUUACUUUGAAAAAAUUAGAGUGUUUAAAGCAGGCUCACGCUUGAAUACAUUAGCAUGGAAUAAUGAAAUAGGACGUUUGAUUCUAUUUUGUUGGUUUCUAGGAUCGACGUAAUGAUUAAUAGGGAUAGUUGGGGGCAUUAGUAUUCAAUUGUCAGAGGUGAAAUUCUUGGAUUUAUUGAAGACUAACUACUGCGAAAGCAUUUGCCAAGGAUGUUUUCAUUAAUCAAGAACGAAAGUUAGGGGAUCGAAGACGAUCAGAUACCGUCGUAGUCUUAACCAUAAACUAUGCCGACUAGGGAUCGGAUGAUGUUAAUUUUUUAAUGACUCAUUCGGCGCCUUACG